Molecule: ribosomal RNA, 305 nt
Filed under: uncultured bacterium
Lineage: Bacteria
Description: bacterial SSU rRNA
Rfam family: Bacterial small subunit ribosomal RNA
Source: RNAcentral
CCUACGGGGGGCAGCAGUGGGGAAUAUUGGGCAAUGGGGGGAACCCUGACCCAGCGACGCCGCGUGAGGGAAGAAGGUUUUCGGAUUGUAAACCUCUGUCCUUGGUGACGAUAAUGACGGUAGCCAAGGAGGAAGCCACGGCUAACUACGUGCCAGCAGCCGCGGUAAUACGUAGGUGGCGAGCGUUGUCCGGAAUUACUGGGUGUAAAGGGAGCGUAGGCGGGAGAGCAAGUCGACUGUGAAAUCUAUGGGCUUAACCCAUAGCUGCGAUCGAAACUGUUCAUCUUGAGUGAAGUAGAGGCAGG